Molecule: non-coding RNA, 418 nt
Organism: Camellia sinensis
Lineage: Eukaryota; Viridiplantae; Streptophyta; Magnoliopsida; Ericales; Theaceae
Source: RefSeq, a predicted model, not a curated record
CUUCAAUUGAGUCCCGUAUGAAUAGGAUUGCUUUAACGGUGGUCUAUGAUAAAGAAAUUUAAAACAAUUUUUUUUUUUUGAUUGACUAUUUUCCGUCUGUUGCAAUUCGGGUUUGAACUAUGUAUAAUAUUUUGUUUUGCCUCUGGUUUGGAGAUAUUACCUGCUUAAUUUUAUGGUUUCUUUGUGUAUGUGGACUAUGUAUGUAUGUAUUUAGUUCAUUUGUGAGGAUGUGAAGGAUUGCAAGGCAAAAACUUGGAGCUGGAGGAUUUCCUGUUCCGAUUUUAGAACAAUCCUUGCAGAGGAUACAGCAGCCUGCAGUAUCCGCGUUGAGAUGUUAUUCAUCUGCUACCAAAGAGAUGAAGAAGAUCACUGUGCUGAGGUCCACAAUAACCAAUCUUCAGCCUAAGGUAGGGUCCAU